Molecule: ribosomal RNA, 250 nt
Filed under: uncultured prokaryote
Description: partial 16S ribosomal RNA
Rfam family: Bacterial small subunit ribosomal RNA
Source: RNAcentral
UACGUAGGGGACUAGCGUUGUCCGGAAUUACUGGGCGUAAGGGGCGCGCAGGCUGUGCUGCAAGUCAGCUGUGAAAUGUCUGGGCUUAACCCGGGCAUGCGGUUGAGACUGCAGUGCUGGAGUGCUGUAGAGGCAAGUGGAAUUCCCAGUGUAGCGGUGAAAUGCGUAGAUAUUGGGAAGAACACCGGUGGCGAAGGCGACUUGCUGGGCAGCAACUGACGCUGAGGCGCGAAAGCGUGGGGAGCAAACA